RNAcentral lists this transfer RNA (67 nucleotides) under Cerastoderma edule. Its description in RNAcentral is "tRNA-Val". Lineage: Eukaryota; Metazoa; Mollusca; Bivalvia; Cardiida; Cardiidae. The record is from RNAcentral.
GGGGGUAUAGCAUAACAGUGAAAUGCGCUUUCCUUACGCGAAAGAAAUGUGAUACUCACUUCCCCUA